Molecule: ribosomal RNA, 1092 nt
Filed under: Triticum aestivum (bread wheat)
Lineage: Eukaryota; Viridiplantae; Streptophyta; Magnoliopsida; Poales; Poaceae
Description: partial small subunit ribosomal RNA
Source: RNAcentral
AUGUCGAAGAGACAUCGGACGGCGGCUUCAGACCCGUGGGACGACGACCAGGACAUGCCGCCGCAGAAGGCGCCCCCGGGGAUCCACAGGGCGAAGUUCGGGAUGGUGCAUAAGGUGGACUGGAGCCGCCUCAUCUGGGACCUCGCCGAGAAGGAGAUGGUCGACCUGAGCAAGGGGAGAAGGCCCGACUGGACAUGCCACUAUGCCGCCUACCUGCAGAGGCUCAUCUGGGUGGACAAUCCGGGCCUCUUCCAGCCGGCAUUGCCAUUGCUCGGCCUCGGUGGGGAUCAAAAUCUCCCUUCAGAGCUCCAGUCCAAGAUGCAGGAGGUCGAAGCGAGAUCCAAGCUGCUCGACGCGAGAUCCAAGCUGCUGGACACCAGAGCCGAGCACCUUGAAUCCAAGUCCAAGGAACUGGAAGAACGGGCACUCGCAAGCAAGACACUAACAGAGUUAGAGCUGCUCAACCGGAAUCUGCUCGCCGAGAAAGAAGCAAUCAACAGUGAGCUGGAAAUCAAGGGCAACGGUGACUUAAAAAACCUCCGGGAAGAGCUAGCCGAGCUGCGCGAUGGGAUGCAAGGACUGGAAUCCCUCAACCAGGUCCUGGUCACUAAGAACCUAAUAGACAACGACAAACUGCAAGCGGCUCGGAAAGAGUUGAUCGAUGGCUUGAUGGUGGCCACAAAUGGCAGGGCAAACAUAGGCCUGAAGAGGAUGGGGGAGCUCGAUCCAAAAGCGGUUGCAAAUGCUUGCCGACCGAGAUUGUCACAAAAGAAAACUCUUAUUCUCUGUUCCAAGUGGGAGGCUGAAAUCAGAAACGCAGGUUGGCACCCUUUUAAGGUCAUCAUGGUUGACGAUCAGCCCAUGGAAAUUUUCUUGGACGAUGAUGACAAGCUUGUGGAGCUAAAACAAGAAUAUGGUGACCAAAUGUUCGCCUUGGUAAAACAGGCGCUGAUUGAAAGGAACAAGUACAACCCCAGUGGUGGCUAUCCUGAAACGUUGCUGUGGAACUUCAAGCACAGUCGGGAGGCAACAAUGGAAGAAGCCGUCCAAUUCAUUGUAAAAAAGUGUUGCGCAAACAAGAGGAAGCGUUGA